GACGCGCAGCGGGCGGAGCCGAGCUCGGCGACGGAAUCACGCCUCGCGAGGCUGAGAUCCGGAAGUCGGAACCUAGCCGUACAGCGCAUGUCCUCCGUCCUGGUGGUUGUUCUACCCUCUCCUCUGUGAUCCCCGCCGGAAGUGUAGGAAAAAAGUGGACAUAUUUGGAAUUACCCAUUUUUAAGCUGGACUGAUACAUCAUGAUGAAGCACAGACACAAAAAUAAAAAGCCAGGUAAAGGUUCCAAAGGCUGUAAGAAGCCUAUAAAGCAAAAUGGAAAGAAAGCAACUUCAAAAGUGCCCUCCGCUCCCCAGUUUGUUCAUUGCAAUGAUCAUGCCAGCCGGGAGGCAGAAUUAAAGAAGAAGAGGGUUGAGGAGAUGAGGGAGAAGCAGCAGGCUGCCCGGGAGCAAGAGAGACACAGACGCAGGACCAUUGAGAGCUACUGUCAGGAUGUCCUGAGACGCCAGGAGGAGUUUGAACGCAAGGAGGAGGUUUUGCAGGAAUUAAAUAUGUUUCCUCAGCUGGAUGAUGAGGCUACAAGGAAGGCUUAUUACAAGGAGUUCCGUAAGGUAGUACAAUACUCUGAUGUGAUUCUGGAAGUCCUGGAUGCCAGAGACCCAUUGGGGUGUCGGUGUUUCCAAAUGGAGGAGGCUGUUUUGCGGGCAGAGGGCAACAAGAAGCUGGUCCUGGUCUUGAACAAGAUUGACUUGGUUCCUAAGGAGAUUGUGGAGAAGUGGUUGGAUUACCUUCGUAAUGAGCUGCCAACUGUGGCUUUUAAGGCCAGCACUCAACAUCAGGUCAAAAACCUGAAUCGGUGUAAUGUGCCAGUGGAUCAAGCCCCUGAAUCGCUGCUAAAAAGCAAAGCUUGCUUUGGAGCUGAAAAUCUCAUGAGGGUUCUGGGAAACUAUUGCCGCCUGGGUGAAGUACGCACCCACAUCCGUGUGGGUGUCGUGGGCCUUCCCAAUGUUGGGAAGAGCAGCCUGAUCAAUAGCCUGAAGCGCAGCCGUGCAUGCAGUGUGGGAGCCGUUCCUGGGGUUACCAAAUUCAUGCAGGAGGUCUACCUAGACAAGUUCAUCAGGCUGCUGGAUGCUCCAGGCAUUGUCCCAGGACCCAACUCCGAGGUGGGCACUAUUUUGCGUAACUGCAUCCAUGUGCAGAAGCUGGCAGAUCCUGUGACCCCAGUGGAGACCAUUUUACAGCACUGCAACCUGGAAGAGAUUUCCAACUACUAUGGAGUUUCUGGGUUCCAGACCACUGAGCACUUUCUGACUGCAGUGGCCCACCGCUUGGGAAAGAAGAAGAAGGGAGGCUUAUACAGUCAGGAGCAGGCUGCUAAAGCUGUCCUAGCUGACUGGGUGAGUGGAAAGAUCAGCUUCUAUACACCACCACCACCCACCCACACUCUACCAGCCCACUUGAGUGCUGAGAUUGUUAAGGAAAUGACUGAGGUCUUUGACAUUGAAGAUACUGAGCAGGCCAAUGAAGACACCAUGGAAUGCUUGGCCACCGGAGAAUCAGAUGAGCUGUUGGGCGACACAGACCCUCUCGAAAUGGAGAUUAAGUGGCUUCAUUCUCCGAUGGUGAAAAUAGCAGAUGCCAUUGAAAAUAAAACCACCGUAUAUAAGAUUGGAGACCUCACUGGGUAUUGCACCAAUCCAAACCGUCAUCAGAUGGGGUGGGCUAAACGCAAUGUGGACUACCCCCUUCCCAAGAACAACAGUGUGGUGGAUGUUAGCCCAGUCGACCGCCGUCCGAUGCUGCAGAGGAUCAUGGAGACAGAUCCCUUGCAACAGGGUCAGGCUUUGGCAUCAGCCUUGAAAAAUAAGAAGAAGAUGCAGAAGCGUACAGAUAAAAUCGCCAGCAAGCUGUCUGAUUCCAUGAUGUCUGUUUUCGACCUCUCGGGCAACGGUGAUGACAGUGCUGGUGACUGAUCAGUUGAUCCCACUCCCCUCCCCCUCCAAGCACUGGUUCCUAUAGGAUGGGGGAGUACAAAUGGAGUUUGGUUCUCUCGGAAGUACCUAUAUAUAUAAAAAAACUUCCCAUGCUGUGUGUCCCCUCCCCAUACUGUUCCCUCCAUUCUCUCUAGAGAGGUUGGAGUUGCCAAAUCCAGUGAACUUUACUUAAUCCCUGCUGUGUUUUAUAAGAGAAAAUAUCAGCAGAGCCCAGGUGCUAACAAUUUAUCCCUCACUCUUAAUCCUAGGAUCCCACCCCGUAGGUUGAGCUGAUAUUAAGGAUGACCUCCCACAAGCCCUCUUAGACGGCUGAAUGUACAAAUAAAGGCUAGACUGUUAGUAGACCUAGAGCCCCUGCAGGGAAGAUGAUUUGUUUACCAUUCAAUGAGAGGUAUCACCACCAAGGUAUCCCUAUAAUGGGCUUCUGGCCAUGCAUCUUUCUUCCAAGUUCAUAGGUCCUCACUUGGGUGGCAGUGGGGACAGGGGAAUAGUGAUGAGCCUUUUUAUAUCUGUGCAAGGGUCUGGAGAUAGGAUAAAGGGAAGAAGAAAACAAAUAAGCCUGGCUGGUGUUAAAGUGUGUUAGAGACUAUAUUGUAGGAGGAGAAAACAAGGUACCUGUUGGUAGGGCAGCUGGGUGCUUUAGGGACAAGUCCCAUCUUGGCAUAUGUGAGAAUUGGAGAAAUUCCAUUAACUGAAGUGCUCUGGCUGAUCCCUGCCCUUGUGUGACCUUAUCCAGCAUCAGCAUUUGAAUUCCAUAAUUCUGGAGAGUUCUGAUACCAGUUAUUCAGAGUGUGUCCUUGAGAGAGUUGCUGUAUUUGGGACUGCACCAGCUAUCUUCUUUCCCAGUGGCUGGAACCUACCCAUUAAAAUAUAAUUAACUAUCACCUCUUGGAGGGCCUACCCUACUCAGACAAGGGCAUCAGGCCCAAGCACUACUAGGGGCCUGGCUUAGUCAGCUUGCUGUCACUAUUGUAAAAUACUUGAGAUAUCAGUUUAUAAGGAGAAAAGGCUUAUUUUGACUUAAAGUUUUAAAAGUUCCAGUCCAUGAUUGAUUGGCUCUAUUGCUUUGGCUUUCUGGUGAGAUAGCAUAGAUAAGCUGGUACAUGUGGUGACCAAAACCUUUCAUCUUAUGGCCAGGAAGCAAAAAAAGGAAAAAAAAAAAAAUAGUGGGAGUGCCUGAAGUCCCACAAUCCCUUUCAAUAUCCCAAUGAUUUAAGGAUCUCCCACCAGGCCCCACCUCCUAAAAGUUUUACUUUACCCUGAGAUCAAGUCUUUUAACAUAUGGGCCUUUGGGAUACAUUCAGGAUCCAAGUUAUAACAAGCUCUUGUAAAGGGACUGGGAUAGAAGAUUACAACUGAAACAAUCUCAUUUUACUAGGAAUUUUUGUUUCUUGUACAAAAUUUCAGUUCCUAGCCAUUUAUCCAGAGUUGAUAUAUUUGUAAGGAGUGGGCAUUACAUUACUUCAGUCUUUGCUACCUACACUAAACUUCCAUACCAUCCUUUGACCAUGAAUAUAUACCCUUUAGUCUUGCUCUUGCCUCUGCCUCUCAGGCUGGCACCCAAAGUUUACCUAACCAGAUCCUAAGAAUGGAAUCAGGUGACACAGGAGAAAGCUUCUGACUAUAGGCUCUUCUGUCUGGAAAGUGCGGACUUCUACUGUAUUCAGGCACAGCCAAAGGAAGGAGUUAGUUACUAAUUGUGCACAAACUGCAACAAGCUCUACCUCCUUAAUUCUCAGUAUGGCUAUACUGGUAUGGGAUUAAUAUCAUAAGAAAAAUAAAUAGGCUCAGAAAAAAUAAAUAAAUAAAUAAAUAAAUAGGCUCAGAAAGUUGACAGGUUAUGCCCAAGACAACAUUAACUGGUAGCACCAAGUGUGAUUAAAACCCUAUGCAGGCCCUUUCCUCUGCAUUAUACUGCCUUCUUAACAAAAGUACAUUAAUUAAGCACCUACUGUGUGCCAGUCUCUGUUA
Molecule: long non-coding RNA, 3923 nt
Filed under: Marmota monax (woodchuck)
Lineage: Eukaryota; Metazoa; Chordata; Mammalia; Rodentia; Sciuridae
Source: RNAcentral